RNAcentral lists this ribosomal RNA (418 nucleotides) under Planorbis planorbis. RNAcentral's name for it is "partial large subunit ribosomal RNA". The stretch from base 1 to 139 matches the Rfam family "Archaeal large subunit ribosomal RNA", at positions 1904 to 2084 of the family's 2987-position model. Lineage: Eukaryota; Metazoa; Mollusca; Gastropoda; Planorbidae. The record is from RNAcentral.
AACAUAGUUUUAUGUAUUUAUAUAAAAUAUUUUCUGCCCAAUGUUUUUGAAAAAAAUCAAUGGCCGCAGUACCUUGACUGUGCUAAGGUAGCAUAAUCAAUUGGCUUUUAAUUAAGGUCUAGAAUGAAUGGGAUAAUGAAGUUAAUCUGUCUUAGUUGCUUUUAUUAAAAUUUAUUUAAAAGGUGAAAAUACCUUUUUUAAAAAUAAAGACGAGAAGACCCUUAGAAUUUUUAUUAUUUUUUUUUGUUGGGGCGACAGUUUAAAAUAUAAUCUUAAAUUUAUUGUAAAUAUAUAACGAUUUUUUUAAUAGAAAUUAAAUUACCUUAGGGAUAACAGCAUAAUUAAUUAUUUAGUUUGUGACCUCGAUGUUGGACUAGGAACUAUAUGGCUAACCGUCUAAUUAGAUUUGUUCUGUUCG